RNAcentral lists this ribosomal RNA (497 nucleotides) under uncultured bacterium. Its description in RNAcentral is "partial 16S ribosomal RNA". It matches the Rfam family "Bacterial small subunit ribosomal RNA", at positions 28 to 507 of the family's 1533-position model. The record is from RNAcentral.
GAUGAACGCUGGCGGCGUGCCUAAUACAUGCAAGUCGAGCGAACAGACGAGGAGCUUGCUCCUCUGACGUUAGCGGCGGACGGGUGAGUAACACGUGGAUAACCUACCUAUAAGACUGGGAUAACUUCGGGAAACCGGAGCUAAUACCGGAUAAUAUAUUGAACCGCAUGGUUCAGUAGUGAAAGACGGUUUUGCUGUCACUUAUAGAUGGAUCCGCGCCGCAUUAGCUAGUUGGUAAGGUAACGGCUUACCAAGGCAACGAUGCGUAGCCGACCUGAGAGGGUGAUCGGCCACACUGGAACUGAGACACGGUCCAGACUCCUACGGGAGGCAGCAGUAGGGAAUCUUCCGCAAUGGGCGAAAGCUUGACGGAGCAACGCCGCGUGAGUGAUGAAGGUCUUCGGAUCGUAAAACUCUGUUAUUAGGGAAGAACAAAUGUGUAAGUAACUAUGCACGUCUUGACGGUACCUAAUCAGAAAGCCACGACUAACUACGUG